AUUAUUUCUAUUCGUCAAGUCACGACGUUUUUCGUUAGUUUACUUCCAUAAUGACUUUGACGACCUACUGAUUGUCUUAAUUACGUAGCGUGAUCAGCAAUCCUCACAAGUCACAACGUUCCAUAAAAUUUUUUAUUUAUACUAUAGUACAGGUCAUCGCAUUUCAGUUAAUGGAUAAUUUGAGAGCCACUUGUGAGUACGGGUUGGUAGUGUCCUUGAUAGUAGACAUUAUUGGCAUUAUUAAUUCGUGGUCAGACGAUUAGUUGCACUGCUGACCAAAGCAGCAAACGCAAUGCACAUAGUAGUAGAAAUUAAGUUCAAAUAUAAAAUAAGUAGAUGUCUCUUAUUUAACUCAAGGAUGCUUCAUUAAUUUUACUAAUUACUGCAUAGUCCGUUUUAGAAAAGAAAUUGAACAUUUUGCCACUACUAAAGAGUUUUGCCUAAAUGACAUUCCGCUAAUUGGAUUCAUUAAAAUGCCACGCCCAAGCGAUGCCAAAUAUUUCUUUUACCAUAUUCGCUAAUUCUCUCCAUUUCCACCAAAUUUCGCACCCGGGCUGACGAAAAUACCCCUACAAGCUGCUUCUUUUAGCUUGGCCACUCGUGGAGCAGAGGAAAGGGGAUCCAGAUCCAGGCGCUCCCAUCAUCGCCGCAGCCGCCACCACCACCACCGCUCCCGUCAUCGCCAUCACCGCCACCGCCACUGCCGCUAGCGUCGAGGCCACCAUGUCGAGUGGCAACCUAGCACCUGGCGCACAAAACCGUCACUACCAAAUGGUGCUAGCUUAGGCGCAGGAUGGUAUCGACAAAGCGCACCUGGCAUGAGCUACUGAUGGGGUGACAGUGGUAAAAGACUAUCAUACAUGUACUUCUAGCAGCAGAAGAAGAACUACCACACCAAAAGAAAAAAGUCAAACGACUUAUAAUAUGAAAUAGAGAGAGUAUUAAGGAAUGUUAAAAAUGCACAAUAGCUAUGCAUCCUUCUUCCUCAGGCUAAUUGCGACUAUUUUUUCUUUCUUGUUUA
Long non-coding RNA from Oryza sativa Japonica Group (Japanese rice), 1021 nucleotides. RefSeq lists it as uncharacterized. NCBI's taxonomy places the organism in Eukaryota, Viridiplantae, Streptophyta, Magnoliopsida, Poales, Poaceae. The record is from RefSeq and is a predicted model, not a curated record.